UUGACCUCGGAUCAGGUAGGAUACCCGCUGAACUUAAGCAUAUCAAUA
RNAcentral lists this ribosomal RNA (48 nucleotides) under Lecidea sp. Tuerk 38563. RNAcentral's name for it is "partial 26S ribosomal RNA". RNAcentral also lists the same sequence under 1 other name. Lineage: Eukaryota; Fungi; Ascomycota; Lecanoromycetes; Lecideales; Lecideaceae. The record is from RNAcentral.